This 75-nucleotide antisense RNA is filed under the name Amycolatopsis saalfeldensis. Its description in RNAcentral is "ASpks TB sRNA". It matches the Rfam family "ASpks TB sRNA". Lineage: Bacteria; Bacillati; Actinomycetota; Actinomycetes; Pseudonocardiales; Pseudonocardiaceae. The record is from Rfam by way of RNAcentral.
CUUGAGCGAGCCGAGCCGCAGCGGCUCGCCCGCCGCCCGGUCACGGCCGUAGGUGGCGAUCAGGGCCUGGGCCUC